UACGGGGGGGGCAAGCGUUGUUCGGAAUUACUGGGCGUAAAGCGUGCGCAGGCGGUUGGUUAAGUCUGAUGUGAAAGCCCCGGGCUCAACCUGGGAAUGGCAUUGGAAACUGGCUGGCUAGAGUGUGGCAGAGGGGGGUGGAAUUCCGCGUGUAGCAGUGAAAUGCGUAGAGAUGCGGAGGAACACCGAUGGCGAAGGCAGCCCCCUGGGCUGACACUGACGCUCAGGCACGAAAGCGUGGGGAGCAAACAGG
This 253-nucleotide ribosomal RNA is filed under the name uncultured bacterium. Its description in RNAcentral is "partial 16S ribosomal RNA". It matches the Rfam family "Bacterial small subunit ribosomal RNA", at positions 524 to 776 of the family's 1533-position model. The record is from RNAcentral.